CCUACGGGAGGCAGCAGUGGGGAAUAUUGGGCAAUGGGCGCAAGCCUGACCCAGCAAAGCCGCGUGAAGGAAGAAGGCCCUCGGGUUGUAAACUUCUUUUAACAGGGACGCAGAAAGUGACGGUACCUGUUGAAUAAGCAACGGCUAACUACGUGCCAGCAGCCGCGGUAAUACGGAGGUGGCAAGCGUUACCCGGAUUUACUGGGUGAAAAGGGCGUGUAGGCGGGAGAGGAAGUCAGACGGUAAAUUCCAGGGCUCAACCCUGGAACGGCGUUUGAAACUGUUCUUCUUGAGGGAUGGAGAGGCAUGCGGAAUUCCGGGUGUAGCGGUGAAAUGCGUAGAUAUACGGCGGAACACCAGUGGCGAAGGCGGCCUGCUGGACAUUAACUGACGCUGAGGCGCGAAAGCGUGGGGAGCAAACAGGAUUAGAUACCCUGGUAGUC
Molecule: ribosomal RNA, 443 nt
Filed under: uncultured bacterium
Lineage: Bacteria
Description: partial 16S ribosomal RNA
Rfam family: Bacterial small subunit ribosomal RNA
Source: RNAcentral